This 1956-nucleotide long non-coding RNA is filed under the name Gallus gallus (chicken). The record is from RNAcentral. Lineage: Eukaryota; Metazoa; Chordata; Aves; Galliformes; Phasianidae.
GUUCCAUUGUUUAGUUCCACUUCAAAGUUAAUAUAUUUCUGAGGGCUGCGCAGCAGGCGGCGGGGCCCGGGCGGGCAUGGCGGCGGUGGGGAAGAGGCGCGGGGACGCGGCCGGUUACCUGAGGCCUCCCGCGGCAGCCGCCAUCGAGGGGGAACCCAUGUCACGGCGACAGGAACAGCGUCGCGGCGGCCCGGCCCCCUCCCGGCGGCCACCUCCUCCUGCCCUGCCGCCACCGCCCACUUGGCCCCGCUCUUCCCGUCAGCCCCCGCACUGCCACCGCCCUUGGAACCGGCGUCACUCCCAGCAACGGCCGCGAGAACGCGAAGAAAUAAAAAAGCGAGAUGGGGCAAUCAUCGUUCCACUUUUCACGUCUCUGUGUGACCAGAGGGUAAACAUCUUGAACUUCAGAGUCUGCAUACCACCUAAUCCCGAGGGAGUCCCCAGGGCCUGUCUGCAUUGAGCUGAAACCUCAGUUCUUAAGCAUCAGGAUCUGCCAGAUUUACAGCCUUCAAAGAGUAGCUUAGCAUCCAAAAUAGUGUAAAGCCUGUGCUGACCUGGCAGGACAGAAGCAGCAACAAGGGAGCUGAAAGGAUAGACAACAGCCCAGUUCAUCGGCACAGGCGUGAAGAACUGCACACAGAAAAGGAACAGGGCAGCCUUCCUACUAUAGUUGUGUCCAGAGCUGGCUGUCACUUCUCCACACAGACGAUGGCACCUGAGCCGGUUUGGAAUCUACAGUUCUAACAAGUUCAGCCAAGUUUUGUAAGCUGAAGAUCUCCGUUUAUCUUUAUUGUGUCAAUUGCUGACAGUGUUUCAAUACGGUGGUAAAAAUCAAAGAGCUGAUGUCCAUCCACAAAUAUUCUAAAACGGGGAUGCUCACAAAGUAUCUCAACCUGUAAAAAAUAAAAUGAUGAACCGUGUUCACAACGUAACUGGGAAGUUAUUUCACAGGAUGCAAAGAGCACCGGAUUAGCCUUUAAGCAGCGUUGGUAUGGUUACACAUCUUGCUACUUGCACGCCACGUAGCAGAGAAAGCUGAGCCCCCUUUGCCCCCACGACCCCAGUUACACUACAAGGGAUCUGCUCGCACUUCACAGAGAUGUUAAUCCAGCCUCACACAGCCAGGGUGGGGAGGACCCCCAAACCCUGAUGCACAGCUCUGCAGAUUAUGGUCCUGCUGGCACCAGGGAGGUUUUCUCUCUGUGAAUAAUGCCAGAAGCAAACUGCUAAUUAAAGGUAUAUCCAACCCAAAUCUUGCAUUCCUGGCUACAGAUGUUUGUUUGUUUUUUUUUUCCCGGCAGAAUGAGGGGGCAGCUCCCUCUGCAGUGUUUUCCAUGCUGCCAUUAAUUCAGUGGAAGAGAGCAAACAUGAGAGGGAUAGGUUUGCCCUCCACUCCCACACGCCAGAACUGCACUUACACAGCUGCUGUGCAACUAAAAAGCUUCUGCUGUGGCGACUGCACACAGGACUGCCUGCUGGACUAGGGGCUGCAGUGAGGGAGACGUAGCACAGGACAGCUUAAAUACAGCCAGACAGCCCACACAAGGCACAGCCUGCACAAGGGAAGGAUAAAGCUCAUCUCUCGUCCUACGGCCCUGGAGAAAUAAUCUAGAAAAGCCACAAGGAGAGGAGCUAGACCACUCGUUCUGGAUAAAUAUUCCUGAUAUCGAGGGUGGCUUGAUGCCUUGAGGAUAAGCUUUGCUAGAGCUGCCCCAUCAGGAAGCCAAGACGAGAAGGCACAAAACAUGCAUUUUUUGUAUGCGCCCUCAUAGACCUCCAGGUCUGGAAAGGCUGAGAAGCGAAUCUGCAGGGAAGCCAUGUGCAAAUCCUGGGUUGUUUCUGAGGCCGGUAGUCUGGAGCAAAGUGAGUGAUAAACUGAGCGAGUCGAAGUGCGUCUGAUUUAGGGCAUAUCAUACUGAGGAAGUAGCAGCAGACUGCCCACAGGACCUGGUAGCG